CCGGAAUAGCUCAGUUGGUANAGCA
Molecule: transfer RNA, 25 nt
Filed under: Orthotrichum anomalum
Lineage: Eukaryota; Viridiplantae; Streptophyta; Bryopsida; Orthotrichales; Orthotrichaceae
Description: partial tRNA-Phe
Source: RNAcentral